RNAcentral lists this ribosomal RNA (252 nucleotides) under uncultured bacterium. Its description in RNAcentral is "partial 16S ribosomal RNA". It matches the Rfam family "Bacterial small subunit ribosomal RNA", at positions 524 to 776 of the family's 1533-position model. The record is from RNAcentral.
UACGGAGGAUGCGAGCGUUAUCCGGAUUUAUUGGGUUUAAAGGGUGCGUAGGCGGGCUUUUAUGUCAGCGGUAAAAAUUCGGGGCUCAACCCCGUCCGGCCGUUGAAACUGGGGGUCUUGAGUGGGCGAGAAGAAGGCGGAAUGCGUGGUGUAGCGGUGAAAUGCAUAGAUAUCACGCAGAACCCCGAUUGCGAAGGCAGCCUUCCGGCGCCCUACUGACGCUGAGGCACGAAAGUGCGGGGAUCGAACAGG